GGUCAAUAGCCUAACGGCUGAACCAGCAACUUGGAGGAAUGUAUAGCAAUAGCUACUUGCAUCAUUGUAAAAAUGAUGCAGGAUCGACUAUGUCGAAUAAAAUUCUAGGUAGAAUUUUGAUAAUGACAUUGUCUGCCUAUGUGUCUUGACCAAAUUACGUGCCAGCAGUCGCGGUAAUACGUAGAAGACUAGUGUUAUUCAUGUUUAAUCGGUUUAAAGGGUACCUAGACGGUAAAUCAAGCCUAAAAUUAAAUGAAGGGACUAAUUUACUAGAGUUACUUAUGAGGGGGUAUUAAAGUACUGCUGGUGUAGAGAUGAAAUUCUGUCAUACCUCUUUUCAAUAGAAAAAUAAUGGCACAGGUAUAGGCGAAAGCAUCCCCUUAUGUGAUAACUGACGUUGAGGGACGAAGGCUUUGUGUAGCGAACAGGAUUAGAUACCCCAGUAGUCAAAGCAGAAAAUGAUGAAUGUCAUAGAUUAGAUAAAUAAGUUUAUUCUAUAAAUGAAAGUGUAAGCAUUCCACCUCAAGAGUAAUUUGGCAACAUUGGAACUGAAAUCAUUAGACCGUUUCUGAAACCAGUAGUGAAGUAUGUUGUUUAAUUUGAUGAUCCGCAAAAAACCUUACCACAAUUUGAAUAUUUAUAUCUAUUAUUGUUUUUUAUUUUCUCCUGAUUUUAUUUUUGAGGCGAUAUGAUAUAUUUACAAGCGUUGCACGGCUGUCUUCAGUUAAUGUCGCGAGACUUUGGUUAGUUCCAUUAAAUUAACGUAAACCCUUACUUUAUUUUUAUAUAGAGUAGUUCCCCGCUAUAUUGGAUAUGAUAACAGGACUA
RNAcentral lists this ribosomal RNA (828 nucleotides) under Hypogymnia delavayi. Its description in RNAcentral is "SSU rRNA". It matches the Rfam family "Bacterial small subunit ribosomal RNA", at positions 366 to 1156 of the family's 1533-position model. The record is from RNAcentral. Lineage: Eukaryota; Fungi; Ascomycota; Lecanoromycetes; Lecanorales; Parmeliaceae.